Molecule: ribosomal RNA, 1512 nt
Filed under: uncultured prokaryote
Description: partial 16S ribosomal RNA
Rfam family: Bacterial small subunit ribosomal RNA
Source: RNAcentral
AGAGUUUGAUCCUGGCUCAGAUUGAACGCUGGCGGUAGGCUUAACACAUGCAAGUCGAGCGGUAACAGAGAAUAGCUUGCUAUUCUGCUGACGAGCGGCGGAAGGGAGAGUAACGCGUAGGAAACUGCCUGGCAGUGGGGGAUAGCCCAGAGAAAUUUGGAUUAAUACCGCAUACGCCCUACGGGGGAAAAGGGGCUUCGGCUUCGGCUCUUGCUAUUAGAUGUGCCUGCGUAGGAUUAGCUUGUUGGUGAGGUAAUGGCUCACCAAGGCAACGAUCCUUAGCUGGUUUGAGAGGAUGAUCAGCCACACUGGGACUGAGACACGGCCCAGACUCCUACGGGAGGCAGCAGUGGGGGAUAUUGCACAAUGGGCGCAAGCCUGAUGCAGCCAUACCGCGUGUGUGAAGAAGGCCUUAGGGUUGUAAAGCACUUUCAGUAGGGAGGAAAGCUUGUGGCUUAAUACGCUAUAAGCUGUGACGUUAACUGCAGAAGAAGGACCGGCUAACUCCGUGCCAGCAGCCGCGGUAAUACGGAGGGUCCGAGCGUUAAUCGGAAUUACUGGGCGUAAAGCGCGCGUAGGUGGUUUGUUAAGUUGGAUGUGAAAUCCCCGGGCUCAACCUGGGAACUGCAUCUGAUACUGGCUAACUAGAGUACAGUAGAGGGAAGUGGAAUUUCAGGUGUAGCGGUGAAAUGCGUAGAGAUCUGAAGGAACACCAGUGGCGAAGGCGACCACCUGGUCUGAUACUGACGCUGAGGUGCGAAAGCGUGGGGAGCAAACAGGAUUAGAUACCCUGGUAGUCCACGCCGUAAACGAUGUCUACUAGCCGUUGGGAGACUUGAUCUCUUAGUGGCGCAGCUAACGCAAUAAGUAGACCGCCUGGGGAGUACGGCCGCAAGGUUAAAACUCAAAUGAAUUGACGGGGGCCCGCACAAGCGGUGGAGCAUGUGGUUUAAUUCGAUGCAACGCGAAGAACCUUACCUGGUCUUGACAUCCUACAUCAUACGAACUUACUAGAGAUGGAUUGGUGCCUUCGGGAACGUAGUGACAGGUGCUGCAUGGCUGUCGUCAGCUCGUGUUGUGAAAUGUUGGGUUAAGUCCCGUAACGAGCGCAAUCCUUGUCCUUAGUUGCCAUCAGGUAAUGUUGGGAACUUUAAGGAGACUGCCGGUGAUAAACCGGAGGAAGGUGGGGACGACGUUAAGUCAUUAUGGCCCUUACGACCUGGGCUACACACGUGCUACAAUGGCCGGUACAGAGGGUUGCCAAACCGCGAGGUGGAGCUAAUCCCAGAAAGCCGGUCGUAGUUCGGAUUGGAGUCUGCAACUCGACUCCAUGAAGCCGGAAUCGCUAGUAAUCGCGAAUCAGAAUGUCACGGUGAAUACGUUCCCGGGCCUUGUACACACCGCCCGUUAUACCAUGGGAGUGGGUUGCAAAAGAAGUGGGUAGACUAGCCUUCGGGGGGUCGCUCACCACUUUGUGAUUCAUGACUGGGGUGAAGUCGUAACAAGGUAGCC